Long non-coding RNA from Papaver somniferum (opium poppy), 1815 nucleotides. RefSeq lists it as uncharacterized. NCBI's taxonomy places the organism in Eukaryota, Viridiplantae, Streptophyta, Magnoliopsida, Ranunculales, Papaveraceae. The transcript is spliced from 9 exons. The record is from RefSeq and is a predicted model, not a curated record.
AGUCAUUCUUUGAUUUGAAGAACACAAACAAUGAACUCAAAAGUGAAUUUAAAGGACCUUUACGUUAACCCAACAGUCAAAGAAGAGAAGCUUGCUUCCGGUCAAAAGUGUGGGUUGGAUGGAUGGAUGUAAUGAUGAAGACUUAAGAAUUUAGGAAUGAGUAGGAGCCUUGGUUUGUCUCAAACAGAAACUCUUAACAAGAAAUCAGUGAAGAUUCGAAACAAGAAAACAACGAGAAAUGGUACGAUCGGCUAUAAAAGGGGUUGUAAACAAUCUUAAGAAUCAUAUAAAAAUGAUUGGCUUUUCAUGUUUGCUAUUCAUGGAUGCAAUACAAUAGAUGUUUCGUUACUGCUGGAAAGCAUUUCUAAAUUGGCAUGGUUCACCAAGACUUUGAACAAAGAACACAGGAAGAAAGGUGAACCAAGUGUUAAAAUUUGAGAAUUCAUACGGCAAUUAGCUGUGGAUAACCCAACCCCACAGAUGGAGGCGGCUAUGUUGCAGUAGGUUGUUCCGAGGAAGGACAACUACUCUCAAAGCCGGAAAGUUGCUCUUCAGAAUGUGGAAUCCACUAUUUCCUAACUAAGUGGAAUAUUUACAAAGUUGGCAACAAUGGUUUCACAUCAAGGAGAACUGGAUAUCAGGUCUCUUCUUCCUUCUGAAAGGAGAACAAUUCAUAUCCCCCUUGUAAUGUAAAUCCGUUUUACCAAUUUAUUGUAUUUGUUUUGAGGUUAUCAAAUACUUAGGGUGAGGGUUACCCUCUUAGUAGAUUAUACAUGAGAUUAUCUAAUAUUGUCCCCCUUCCUCAUGUAUUCAUUUUUGAUGUUUACUUGGAUUUUGGUUUUAAUGGAAGAUUUUUAUCUUCGUAGGCUCCAUUCAGUGUGUCAAGAUACGAGUUAUACCAACACUACUAUUUGUAUCUGGCAUAAACACAUUUCUUCAAGUUUUGUUUGGAACCAGGUUACCGGCAGUCAUUGGUGGUUCUUAUGCCUAUAUUGUACUUAUCCUUUGCAUUAUCGGAGACUCAUCUCUACAACGAAUCACUGAACCUCAUGAAAGAUUUUUACACAGUAUGAUGGAAACUCAAGGAGUCCUGAUUGUAGCUGCAAGCUUACAGAUCAUAGUAUCAUAUUAGGAUAUAGUCAAGUAUGGUGGCUUUUUUCGCAGUUUUUUAGCCCUCUCGGUAUGGCACCUGUAGUUGGAUUGGUUGGUUUGGGGUUAUUUGAGCGUGCUAACAUGGGUUAAUAUGCCGCAUGGGGUAUGAAUUAUCUUCGUCAUUGUAACCCGCCAAUUGUUCAUUGUGAUUUGUCAUCGAAUCUGCUGGUUAACAAGAACUGGACUGUGAAGGUGAGCAACAUUUUUCUCCCUUUUUGUUACAAAGUGAAAAACACAACCGAGCUUGAGCAGUUAGAAAAGAUUCCAAAAUUCAAGGCUAGGCCACUGAAUGAAAAGGUGACGAAGCCUCAGGAGUUCCACUUUUCAAUUGAUGAAUGGAUUCCUCCUUGCAAGAAUAGUUUUUGAGUUGUUUGACAAGGUACAGACAACAUAAUCACUUUUCUCUUACAACUUUCAUUAAACUCAGAACGCCAUCACAAUGAGCAGCUAUAUUUUGGGGAUAUAUGAACUGGUCCCUCUAUUUUGUAAGGUGAAGCUAUGUAAAAGAAUUUGAUGUUCAAUAAUGAACUUAGUCCAAGUUUUCAUACUUUGAACUAAUAAUUUUAGUCCAGAUUGUAAAUUGAAUUUGAGCUCCAUUUGAGAUAAUCCUUUGUGUAAUUUGAAACCAACGAAUCAAUGAAUGUUAAAUUGAAUGAUUAUUUA